UGGGGCAUGAACCUGGCAUACAAUGUAGAUUUCUGUGUUCGUUAGGCAACAGCUACAUUGUCUGCUGGGUUUCAGGCUACCUGG
This is a non-coding RNA of Macaca mulatta (Rhesus monkey), 84 nucleotides long. The record is from Rfam. Lineage: Eukaryota; Metazoa; Chordata; Mammalia; Primates; Cercopithecidae.